UGUUUAUAUUGCGCCGUGUCCAAGAGUAAACACCACAGUCAGCCAUUUCCAUGGAGGAUUUACACUGCAGCUAAACGUUAGUAAGACUGGCGGUGAACCCUCCUUACGACAAGAUGGCAAAGUCCACACUCGCACACACAUGGUGACAGUGACGGCCGCCACGCUGAGACAGCUCAACAUCUGUUUUACCCUGGCAUGCCGAUGGUGCCCAGAGCGAGUGACAGCGAGAUGUCUUGAGGCCAGUCGGGCAUGAUGGGAAUGAGGUCCGUCCCGUCACUGAUUGUGUGGGUUCUCCAGCCACAACGACCGACAACAUGGCUUCCCACGGGAAAUGCUGGGUUAUUGCUUUGGAUCACU
Molecule: long non-coding RNA, 357 nt
Organism: Lates calcarifer (barramundi perch)
Lineage: Eukaryota; Metazoa; Chordata; Actinopteri; Centropomidae
Exons: 2
Source: RefSeq, a predicted model, not a curated record